This is a non-coding RNA of Vicugna pacos (alpaca), 1874 nucleotides long. The record is from RefSeq and is a predicted model, not a curated record. Lineage: Eukaryota; Metazoa; Chordata; Mammalia; Artiodactyla; Camelidae.
CUAAAUUGGAAGUAACCCUUAUCUGGACAUGUUCUGUAAACAUGUUUUGAAGCUUUUUGAAAGGAAUAACCUGGUCGUUGUCUCAAUGGCAUUCUACUGAAGUGUAAAGUGCUCCACACUACAUAAUUUGGGUGUGAUUAUUUGCACUGAAAGGAUUUAACCUAGCAUCCUUCCUUUACUAAAUAGGUAGCCCCUGAUUUCUGCAAGUGUUACUGCAAACUGCACCAUAAAUCAGUAAGAGGAGGUCAUCUUUUUCAGUAGGAAAUAAUUAUAUUUGCAAUAAGCAUUUGGCAAUUUGUAAACUAAGUAUACCCAACUGCAUGUCAUCAAAGAUACAUUGGUCCCUAGAUGAAUCAUUAAAAAUACUGAAAUUAUGUGCCAAGUCCUAUAAAGGGGCAAAAGCAUAUGACACAUUUUAAUUAAGUUAUUCUAAAGUUUAUGGCUGUCACCCAGCUAUACAGCUAUUGUAAUUGGAUAUUUAAUCUAAGGCCAAUAUAUUGUCUAUAAUGAGCAUCAGUCAAAAAUUUGGUUACCACUUGCCAGCUUGGAAGGUAGAAGAGUACUCUGGGGAUGGCUGAAGAUGACCUACUGUCUUUAAAGAAGCAGUUUAAGAAAGUCUGAACUAAUGCUUUCUUUUUUCUCAUGCCUCAUAAGAAGCUAAGGCAUUUGAUAUCGUUCCAUUUACCACAGGUUAGGGUUGUAAUUGGCUUAAUAAUUGUUGGUGAUGAUUGUGAUGUUUCUUCAAGAGAGAGGGACUUAUUAGCAGCUAACAACAGCAAAAACCCUUCAUGAUUAUUAAUUUAAAUCUCUAAGUCCUUUGGAUUUUUAUUAGUAUACCAUAUGAUUGCCAAAUCCUAUUUGUGUGCUGAUUUUACUUAUUUUAUAUGUGCAUUUCUGUGUUUAUAUUGUCACUACCCUUGUCAUUUCCAGUGGCUGUACAGCAUUCUUUCCUGAUAAUACACCAUACCAAUCCCUCACUUGAAUUGUUUUGAUUUUUCUUCAUAAUUAAUAGUACUACUAUGAACAGUUUUAUACAGUCUACAAUUUUUUUCAUUUUAUAUUUUUCCCUUGGACCACAUUCCCCAAAGUGGAAUUACCAGGUCCAAAAGUGCAGCUAGAACCAUAGCCUGUCUUACUUAUUGUUAGUGCUUUUCAGAAAGAUCAAAUUUGUGGUACUAUCAGCACUGUAGAGUUGAAGUGUAAUUAUUUCCGUACAUUCUGGGCAACACUGGAUUUUAUGAUUUUAUCCCCUUUUUCUUCUCUGAAAGGUAUAUUGUGAUACCUUCAGGUUAUUCUAAUUUGAAUUUUCUUUCAUUGCAAGUGAGGCUGUGUAUUUUAGUGCUUUCAUCUUUUUCUUUAAGUGGUUCCAUCUUCAAGGACUGUAGAGACCAGCUCAUACAUUCUUAAUGUAUUUUGGCUGGCAGGCUUUGAACAGCUAUGGUAGGCACCUUUCCUCCCUGGUAUUCAUUCACCUUUUGAUAUUUAGUUCACUAGACAAAAAAGCAUUUUUUAAAAUGAGGACUAAUUUUAUUUGAAGCUAGAAAUGCAACCACAGAAACAGACCCAAGCAGUGACAUCAGGAAAUAGUAGCUGUUGAAUACCAUGUUCCCAUUCUCUCUCUCCUUCAUUCUCAUCUCCCUCCCUCUCUCUUUUAUGCCUUUUUGAGGGAGGCUAUUCACUUAGACUUCUUUCUAAAGUCAUACAAUAAUACACUGUCAUCCAUAGACUGUCUGGGGAAGGAUACUUGAUCCAGUGAUAGUAGAGAACGCUUCUGGAGAGGAGAGGGGAAGAGCCUUACUUUUCACUGUACCUUUUGUCACUUUUCAGUUCUGAACUAGAGUUGUAUUACUUUUUAAUAAAAACAAAUUAAAGCC